Molecule: unclassified non-coding RNA, 307 nt
Filed under: Hevea brasiliensis (rubber tree)
Lineage: Eukaryota; Viridiplantae; Streptophyta; Magnoliopsida; Malpighiales; Euphorbiaceae
Source: RNAcentral
UUUGUUGUUUGGGAGGAAGGGAAGCGUUUUGAAGGUUUUUUUUGGUUUUAAAGAGAAAACCUUCUCAAUCCAGCUAUUUGUUCAGUUGGAAAAUGGAGGUUUGUGGAGGUUUUCAAAACCCCCCAAAAACCAGACCUUAUAAAACCAUAGGCUCUCUCAAACACAAAUACAUGGUAAAACCUUAGAAAGCAUUUCAAUUACCUUAUAAAACCUCCUCCCAAACAGAGUGUUGGCAUUCCAUGUCUGAUUUAUUUACACACUACAACUUCUUGUCCUUUCUACUUAUGGAGCCUCUAAUCUUGCACAG